CUGUUGGGAGGUAGCACGGAGGACUCCGCAGUCUGUGCUGGUUCGGGGCGGCUGGAACCCAGUACGAAACCCAAGCCGUGAAGCUUCGGCAGCCCUGUUGAGCCGCGGACCGCCCUCUGCUUCCCGGUGCCCGCGGCGGCGCCGAGUCUGACGGGGCGGGGGCCACGGCCCCUCGGGCUAGCAAGGAUGAGCUUCCUCUUUAGCAGCCGCUCUUCGAAAACAUUCAAACCAAAGAAGAAUAUUCCUGAAGGGUCCCAUCAGUAUGAACUCUUAAAACAUGCAGAGGCAACUCUCGGGAGUGGCAAUCUGAGGCAAGCUGUUAUGUUGCCGGAGGGAGAAGACCUCAAUGAGUGGA
Molecule: long non-coding RNA, 355 nt
Filed under: Rattus norvegicus (Norway rat)
Lineage: Eukaryota; Metazoa; Chordata; Mammalia; Rodentia; Muridae
Description: long non-coding RNA NONRATT020621
Source: RNAcentral